This 461-nucleotide ribosomal RNA is filed under the name uncultured bacterium. RNAcentral describes it as "partial 16S ribosomal RNA". It matches the Rfam family "Bacterial small subunit ribosomal RNA", at positions 338 to 795 of the family's 1533-position model. The record is from RNAcentral.
CCUACGGGAGGCAGCAGUGAGGAAUAUUGGUCAAUGGGCGGAAGCCUGAACCAGCCAAGUCGCGUGAGGGAUUAAGGCCCUGCGGGUCGUAAACCUCUUUUGCCGGGGAGCAGAGGUCCGGACGUGUCCGGGCCGGGAGAGUACCCGGAGAAAAAGCAUCGGCUAACUCCGUGCCAGCAGCCGCGGUAAUACGGAGGGUGCAAGCGUUGUCCGGAAUCAUUGGGCGUAAAGAGUUCGUAGGUGGCAUAGUAAGUCUGGUGUUAAAUGCAGAAGCUCAACUUCUGUUCGGCACUGGAUACUGGUAAGCUUGAAUGCGGUAGAGGUAAAGGGAAUUCCUGGUGUAGCGGUGAAAUGCGUAGAUAUCAGGAGGAACAUCGGUGGCGUAAGCGCUUUACUGGGCCGUAAUUGACACUGAGGAACGAAAGCCGGGGUAGCAAAUGGGAUUAGAUACCCCAGUAGUC